UGUAGAAAAACAUGAAUUGUAUCGACUCAUUUUUGUGCCCGGAUGACAUGUGAUGGUUGCUUUCACCGUUUUGAGAGUGGCAAUGUAACAUGGAAGUGUUUCAACAUGUAUGCCGUGAAGAGAUCUUUUGAUGUCUUUCCAACAAUUGUCAGCCGUUGUUUUGCAGUGUUACCACUCUAGUUUCUCAAAAAUGUUUUUUCCAAUUUCCAUUUCUCCUCUGCAUAACAUAACUAUGCCAUAAAGAUAGAAAGCAUUUUGAUACGAACCUUUAGUAGCCAAGUGAAGAUGAUAAAUUCCUUCAACAGUGUUUUUGUGAUGGAUAUAUUCUUGAAUGCCUUUUACAUAGUGAGCUUCUGGGUUGCCGGCUUGUAGACAUUUGCUCAUUAGAUCCGUGUAACUGGUCAGUGAGGUGAGUGGAUGUUCCGUCAGGAUUGAGAGCUGCAUAUUUUUGUAAACACGAUCAUGUAUUGCAGCUUUGGUCAUAACUGGAAUAGAGGUCAUGAUGGUACGGACUGUGUCCCUUGAAGCUUUUGUUAUUCUUCAAAGCCCAAUUUAAUUAUGUGUCCCUCUUCUUCCUCUCCAAGUCUCUGUUGCCAACGGAUGUAGGAUAUGUUAAUCUUCGCUCACAACAAUUUCUUCAAAACUUCUGAUUUAAACCUCAGCUUCUUUAAUGGCCAUCUCACGUAUCCUUCUAAGUGAUUUGAAAGUCGGCCGGUGCUCUAACAAAGUGGAGAUGCGUUUGCUCCGAUCCUGGGAAGCCCGUAAUGUGAAGAAAGGGGGAGAACUAAUGUGGAUCGAUUUACUCUUUGUCGACGAGAAGGUUAUGCCUGUUAAUCCUUUGCUCUAUAUAUCAUUUAUGUUUAUUUAAAAACGUUUGGAACAACUUCUGAUGAACUUCCUCUUCCAAUUUAGUCUACGCUUAUCCACGGCACUAUUAACUCUCACCGUUUGAAGAAGUACGGAGACCAGUUCUCUGAAGGUUCACUCUAUUAGAUGAGUGGGUUCGACGUAACAAGGAGUCCCAACAACUUCAAAAUCUCAGACUUCCCUCUUGCUAUCCGUUUCAACGAUCAUACUGUCUUUGAGCUGUUGACGGAUUCAGUUAACCCUAUACCUGAUGAAAUGUUUAGGUUCCGCACACAUGAGCAACUAUUAGCAUUGGCUAAUACGGGCACUCACCUCCCAGACCUUAUUGGAGAGUUAGCAUCAAUAAGAAGCACUUUUAAUGACAAUCUCCAAGGGAACCAUCGCGUAAUGGUAACACUCCAGAUGAAAGGGUAUUUUCAAAACCUCUGAACUGAGAUAUUGGCACAUCGUUUAUCAGUUAACAACUGUCUAUUUUGCAGGGAUCUCUCUAGCUGCCUAAGUUUAUCUGCCUAAGUUUUUUUGCCUAUGUUGUUUCAGAUUUAUUUUAUAAUUAAAACUCGUUUUCACAAAGUUCAAGUUAAU
Molecule: long non-coding RNA, 1449 nt
Organism: Brassica napus (rape)
Lineage: Eukaryota; Viridiplantae; Streptophyta; Magnoliopsida; Brassicales; Brassicaceae
Exons: 3
Source: RefSeq, a predicted model, not a curated record